ACGACCUUACUUGAACAGGAUCUAUUCCAUAGGUUCGUACCUCUGUAUCCUUGAGUCCUAAGGAUACAGGAUCCUAAGUCUGGUUGAUGAGACAUGACCGUCCGAUCAGACCGUGAUUAACAAUUCUGAUGAUUUUGGUUCAAACCUAUCAAGCGCUAGAGGAUCGUUCCCAUGGUUGGUUCCAAUCCUAGGGUGGUAGCACGGUUGUCUGACAGAAU
This is a small nucleolar RNA of Macadamia integrifolia, 218 nucleotides long. RefSeq annotates it as small nucleolar RNA U3. The record is from RefSeq and is a predicted model, not a curated record. The transcript has a single exon. NCBI's taxonomy places the organism in Eukaryota, Viridiplantae, Streptophyta, Magnoliopsida, Proteales, Proteaceae.